This 443-nucleotide ribosomal RNA is filed under the name uncultured Rhodoplanes sp. RNAcentral's name for it is "bacterial SSU rRNA". It matches the Rfam family "Bacterial small subunit ribosomal RNA", at positions 337 to 797 of the family's 1533-position model. Lineage: Bacteria; Pseudomonadati; Pseudomonadota; Alphaproteobacteria; Hyphomicrobiales; Nitrobacteraceae. The record is from RNAcentral.
UCCUACGGGUGGCUGCAGUGGGGAAUAUUGGACAAUGGGCGCAAGCCUGAUCCAGCCAUGCCGCGUGGAUGAUGAAGGCCCUAGGGUUGUAAAGUCCUUUCGACGGGGAAGAUAAUGACGGUACCCGUAGAAGAAGCCCCGGCUAACUUCGUGCCAGCAGCCGCGGUAAUACGAAGGGGGCUAGCGUUGCUCGGAAUCACUGGGCGUAAAGCGCACGUAGGCGGCUUUUUAAGUCAGGGGUGAAAUCCCGGAGCUCAACUCCGGAACUGCCUUUGAUACUGAGAAGCUUGAGUGCGGGAGAGGUGAGUGGAACUGCGAGUGUAGAGGUGAAAUUCGUAGAUAUUCGCAAGAACACCAGUGGCGAAGGCGGCUCACUGGCCCGAUACUGACGCUGAGGUGCGAAAGCGUGGGGAGCAAACAGGAUUAGAUACCCUUGUAGUCCU